AGAGUUUGAUCAUGGCUCAGAUUGAACGCUGGCGGCAGGCCUAACACAUGCAAGUCGAACGGUAACAGGAAGCAGCUUGCUGCUUUGCUGACGAGUGGCGGACGGGUGAGUAAUGUCUGGGAAACUGCCUGAUGGAGGGGGGAUAACUACUGGAAACGGUAGCUAAUACCGCAUAACGUCGCAAGACCAAAGAGGGGGACCUUCGGGCCUCUUGCCAUCAGAUGUGCCCAGAUGGGAUUAGCUUGUUGGUGGGGUAACGGCUCACCAAGGCGACGAUCCCUAGCUGGUCUGAGAGGAUGACCAGCCACACUGGAACUGAGACACGGUCCAGACUCCUACGGGAGGCAGCAGUGGGGAAUAUUGCACAAUGGGCGCAAGCCUGAUGCAGCCAUGCCGCGUGUAUGAAGAAGGCCUUCGGGUUGUAAAGUACUUUCAGCGGGGAGGAAGGUGUUGUGGUUAAUAACCACAGCAAUUGACGUUACCCGCAGAAGAAGCACCGGCUAACUCCGUGCCAGCAGCCGCGGUAAUACGGAGGGUGCAAGCGUUAAUCGGAAUUACUGGGCGUAAAGCGCACGCAGGCGGUCUGUUAAGUCAGAUGUGAAAUCCCCGGGCUCAACCUGGGAACUGCAUCUGAUACUGGCAGGCUUGAGUCUCGUAGAGGGGGGUAGAAUUCCAGGUGUAGCGGUGAAAUGCGUAGAGAUCUGGAGGAAUACCGGUGGCGAAGGCGGCCCCCUGGACGAAGACUGACGCUCAGGUGCGAAAGCGUGGGGAGCAAACAGGAUUAGAUACCCUGGUAGUCCACGCCGUAAACGAUGUCGACUUGGAGGUUGUGCCCUUGAGGCGUGGCUUCCGGAGCUAACGCGUUAAGUCGACCGCCUGGGGAGUACGGCCGCAAGGUUAAAACUCAAAUGAAUUGACGGGGGCCCGCACAAGCGGUGGAGCAUGUGGUUUAAUUCGAUGCAACGCGAAGAACCUUACCUGGUCUUGACAUCCACGGAAGUUUUCAGAGAUGAGAAUGUGCCUUCGGGAACCGUGAGACAGGUGCUGCAUGGCUGUCGUCAGCUCGUGUUGUGAAAUGUUGGGUUAAGUCCCGCAACGAGCGCAACCCUUAUCCUUUGUUGCCAGCGGUCCGGCCGGGAACUCAAAGGAGACUGCCAGUGAUAAACUGGAGGAAGGUGGGGAUGACGUCAAGUCAUCAUGGCCCUUACGACCAGGGCUACACACGUGCUACAAUGGCAUAUACAAAGAGAAGCGACCUCGCGAGAGCAAGCGGACCUCAUAAAGUAUGUCGUAGUCCGGAUUGGAGUCUGCAACUCGACUCCAUGAAGUCGGAAUCGCUAGUAAUCGUGGAUCAGAAUGCCACGGUGAAUACGUUCCCGGGCCUUGUACACACCGCCCGUCACACCAUGGGAGUGGGUUGCAAAAGAAGUAGGUAGCUUAACCUUCGGGAGGGCGCUUACCACUUUGUGAUUCAUGACUGGGGUGAAGUCGUAACAAGGUAACCGUAGGGGAACCUGCGGUUGGAUCACCU
Molecule: ribosomal RNA, 1531 nt
Filed under: Citrobacter koseri
Lineage: Bacteria; Pseudomonadati; Pseudomonadota; Gammaproteobacteria; Enterobacterales; Enterobacteriaceae
Description: bacterial SSU rRNA
Rfam family: Bacterial small subunit ribosomal RNA
Source: RNAcentral